CCCCUAGAUGUUCUGGGCCGCACGCGCGCUACACUGAACAGAUCAGCGUGUAUUCCCUUCCUGAGAAGGACGGGUAAACCGCUGAGCCCUGUUCAUGGUAGGGAUCGGGGCUUGCAAUUAUUCCCCGUGAACCAGGAAUUCCCAGUAGGCGCAAGUCAUAAGCUUGCGUCGAUUACGUCCCUGCCCUUUGUACACACCGCCCGUCGCUACUACCGAUUGAACGUUUUAGUGAGGUCCUCGGACUGUUUGCCUGGCGGUUUACCCUGCUUGGCUGGCGGGAAGACGACCAAACUUGAGCGUUUAGAGGAAGUAAAAGUCGUAACA
RNAcentral lists this ribosomal RNA (324 nucleotides) under uncultured eukaryote. RNAcentral describes it as "partial 18S ribosomal RNA". It matches the Rfam family "Eukaryotic small subunit ribosomal RNA", at positions 1470 to 1796 of the family's 1831-position model. The record is from RNAcentral.